Long non-coding RNA from Oncorhynchus tshawytscha (Chinook salmon), 740 nucleotides. Lineage: Eukaryota; Metazoa; Chordata; Actinopteri; Salmoniformes; Salmonidae. The record is from Ensembl.
UAGGUUUUGGCCUUUCUAGGGAGUUUUCCUAGCCACCGUGCUUCUACACCUGCAUUGCUUGCUGUUUGGGGUUUUAGGCUGGGUUUCUGUACAGCACUUUGAGAUAUCAGCUGAUGUACGAAGGGCUAUAUAAAUAAAUUUGAUUUGAUUUGAUAAUCUAGUACUGUUACAGGAGUGAACUAUUAUCAUCAUCCAGUACUGUUACAGGAGUGAACUAUUAUCAUCAUCCAGUACUGUUACAGGAGUGAACUAUUAUCAUCCAGUACUGUUACAUGAGUGAACUAUCAUCAUCCAGUACUGUUACAGGAGUGAACUAUUAUCAUCAUCCAAUACUGUUACAGGAGUGAACUAUUAUCAUAAUCUAGUACUGUUACAGGAGUGAACUAUUAUCAUCAAAUACUGUUACAGGAGUGAACUAUCAUCAUCUCGUACUGUUACAGGAGUGAACUAUUAUCAUCUAGUACUGUUACAGGAGUGAACUAUUAUCAUCAUCUAGUACUGUUACAGGAGUGAACUAUUAUCAUAAUCUAGUACUGUUACAGGAGUGAACUAUUAUCAUCAAAUACUGUUACAGGAGUGAACUAUCAUCAUCUCGUACUGUUACAGGAGUGAACUAUUAUCAUCUCGUACUGUUACAGGAGUGAACUAUCAUCAUCAUAUACUACUGUUACAGGAGUGAACUAUUAUCAUCUAGUACUGUUACAGGGGUGAACUACAAUUUAGUACUGUUACAGGAGUGA